This 524-nucleotide ribosomal RNA is filed under the name uncultured bacterium IAFBB6. RNAcentral's name for it is "bacterial SSU rRNA". It matches the Rfam family "Bacterial small subunit ribosomal RNA", at positions 8 to 523 of the family's 1533-position model. Lineage: Bacteria; Pseudomonadati; Pseudomonadota; Gammaproteobacteria; Enterobacterales; Yersiniaceae. The record is from RNAcentral.
AGAGUUUGAUCAUGGCUCAGAUUGAACGCUGGCGGCAGGCCUAACACAUGCAAGUCGAGCGGUAGCACGGGAGAGCUUGCUCUCUGGGUGACGAGCGGCGGACGGGUGAGUAAUGUCUGGGAAACUGCCUGAUGGAGGGGGAUAACUACUGGAAACGGUAGCUAAUACCGCAUGAUGUCGCAAGACCAAAGUGGGGGACCUUCGGGCCUCACGCCAUCGGAUGUGCCCAGAUGGGAUUAGCUAGUAGGUGGGGUAAUGGCUCACCUAGGCGACGAUCCCUAGCUGGUCUGAGAGGAUGACCAGCCACACUGGAACUGAGACACGGUCCAGACUCCUACGGGAGGCAGCAGUGGGGAAUAUUGCACAAUGGGCGCAAGCCAGAUGCAGCCAUGCCGCGUGUGAAGAAGGCCUUAGGGUUGUAAAGCACUUUCAGCGAGGAGGAAGGCGUUGCAGUUAAUAGCUGCAGCGAUUGACGUUACUCGCAGAAGAAGCACCGGCUAACUCCGUGCCAGCAGCCGCGGUAA